CAUUCCCGGGAAUCACAGUACCGAUGCCACUGCGAGCACACCAGGGAAAGCUGCACCUAAACACCAGGAUACUCUGGGAAAACUGACUCUGAUCCCGUGGAGGAUGAGGAUGAUUCCCAGCCUCUUUCCUGGGAAGCUGCCACGCUGGGAAAACAUAGAUGGAUCCAGCAGCUUGGCUGAGGGUUGGAAUGGCCUCCUGGUGGUUUCUGUGGAGCUGGGAGAGGCCAGGAUGCUCUGAAGCCCUAAUGGAUUGCGGACACGGGGAGACACAAGCCCAGACUGAGCAUUUAUUCCCAAGAUAAAAUCAAGCCAACGCGAGACAAGCCGAGGUAGAUGGUCUGGUGGAUCCACACAUCGGGAUCACUCCAAGCCAC
This is a long non-coding RNA of Empidonax traillii (willow flycatcher), 374 nucleotides long. RefSeq lists it as uncharacterized. Lineage: Eukaryota; Metazoa; Chordata; Aves; Passeriformes; Tyrannidae. The record is from RefSeq and is a predicted model, not a curated record. The transcript has 3 exons.